GAUGAACGCUGGCGGCGUGCCUAAUACAUGCAAGUCGAGCGAACAGACGAGGAGCUUGCUCCUCUGACGUUAGCGGCGGACGGGUGAGUAACACGUGGAUAACCUACCUAUAAGACUGGGAUAACUUCGGGAAACCGGAGCUAAUACCGGAUAAUAUAUUGAACCGCAUGGUUCAAUAGUAAAAUACGGUUUUGCUGUCACUUAUAGAUGGAUCCGCGCCGCAUUAGCUAGUUGGUAAGGUAACGGCUUACCAAGGCAACGAUGCGUAUCCGACCUGAGAGGGUGAUAGGCCACACUGGAACUUAGACACGGACCAGACUCCUACGGGAGGCAGCAGUAGGGAAUCUUACGCAAUGGGCGAAAGCCUUACGCAGCAACGCCGCGUGAGUGAUGAAGGUCUUCGGAUCGUAAAACUCUGUUAUUAGGGAAGAACAAAUGUGUAAGUAACUAUGCACGUCUUGACGGUACCUAAUAAGAAAGCCACGGCUAACUACGUG
RNAcentral lists this ribosomal RNA (497 nucleotides) under uncultured bacterium. Its description in RNAcentral is "partial 16S ribosomal RNA". It matches the Rfam family "Bacterial small subunit ribosomal RNA", at positions 28 to 507 of the family's 1533-position model. The record is from RNAcentral.